RNAcentral lists this ribosomal RNA (468 nucleotides) under uncultured bacterium. RNAcentral's name for it is "partial 16S ribosomal RNA". It matches the Rfam family "Bacterial small subunit ribosomal RNA", at positions 28 to 507 of the family's 1533-position model. The record is from RNAcentral.
AACGAACGCUGGCGGCGUGCUUUACACAUGCAAGUCGAACGGCAAGGCCCUGGUUUUGUUGGGUGCUCGUGUGGCGCACGGGUGUGUAACACGUGAGUGACCUGCCUUUGACUUGGGGAUACCUCCAGGACACUGGGGCUACUACCGGCUAGGUGCUCCUGCUGCCUGGGGGGGGUUGGAACGUUUCUGCGGUUGGGGAUAGACUCGCGGCUUAUCAGCUUGUUGGUGGGGUAGUGGCUUACCCAGGCUUUGACGGGUAGCCGGCCUGAGAGGGUGACCGGCCACAAUGGGACUGAGAGACGGCGCAGACUCCUACGGGAGACAGCAGGGGGGAGUAUUGCACAAUGGGCGGAAGCCUGAGGCAGCAACGCCGCGUGCGGAAUGACGGCCUGCAGGGAGUGAACCGCUUUCGCCUGAGACGGAGCGUGAGUGACGGUAAUGGAUAAAGAAGCACCGGCUAACUACGUG